This 464-nucleotide ribosomal RNA is filed under the name Vreelandella stevensii. RNAcentral describes it as "partial 16S ribosomal RNA". It matches the Rfam family "Bacterial small subunit ribosomal RNA", at positions 338 to 795 of the family's 1533-position model. Lineage: Bacteria; Pseudomonadati; Pseudomonadota; Gammaproteobacteria; Oceanospirillales; Halomonadaceae. The record is from RNAcentral.
CCUACGGGUGGCAGCAGUGGGGAAUAUUGGACAAUGGGCGAAAGCCUGAUCCAGCCAUGCCGCGUGUGUGAAGAAGGCCUUCGGGUUGUAAGCACCUUCAGUGGGGAAGAAAGCCUUGGGGCUAAUACCCUCGAGGAAGGACAUCACCCACAGAAGAAGCACCGGCUAACUCCGUGCCAGCAGCCGCGGUAAUACGGAGGGGGCAGGCGUUAAUCGGAAUUACUGGGCGUAAAGCGCGCGUAGGCGGUCUGAUAAGCCGGUUGUGAAAGCCCCGGGCUCAACCUGGGAACGGCAUCCGGAACUGGCAGGCUAGAGUGCAGGAGAGGAAGGUAGAAUUCCCGGUGUAGCGGUGAAAUGCGUAGAGAUCGGGAGGAAUACCAGUGGCGAAGGCGGCCUUCUGGACUGACACUGACACUGAGGUGCGAAAGCGUGGGUAGCGAACAGGAUUAGAUACCCCAGUAGUC